This 430-nucleotide small RNA is filed under the name Pongo abelii (Sumatran orangutan). Its description in RNAcentral is "processed transcript". Lineage: Eukaryota; Metazoa; Chordata; Mammalia; Primates; Hominidae. The record is from RNAcentral.
UACUAUGCUUAGAAGACGCGCAGCGGUGGUUUAAUAUGUGUUAGGACCAUUUGCUUUAAAGGAACACAUCCACAAGUUUCGUCGAACAAAGUGCCAGUGGUGCAGCACCCUCACCAUGUCCACCCCCUCACGCCUCUUAUCACGUACAGCAAUGAACACUUCACGCCGGGAAACCCACCUCCACACUUACCAGCCGACGUAGACCCCAAAACAGGAAUCCCACGGCCUCCGCACCCUCCAGAUAUAUCCCCGUAUUACCCACUAUCGCCUGGCACCGUAGGACAAAUCCCCCAUCCGCUAGGAUGGUUAGUACCACAGCAAGGUCAACCAGUGUACCCAAUCACGACAGGAGGAUUCAGACACCCCUACCCCACAGCUCUGACCGUCAAUGCUUCCAUGUCCAGGUUCCCUCCCCAUAUGGUCCCACCAC